Molecule: long non-coding RNA, 2585 nt
Organism: Homo sapiens (human)
Lineage: Eukaryota; Metazoa; Chordata; Mammalia; Primates; Hominidae
Exons: 2
Source: RefSeq, a predicted model, not a curated record
UCGAAAGGUCACUACAACUGGAUAUGCAACUGCAGAAGAAUGACUUUGGACGCCUACCUCACAGGAUAUAUAAAAAAUGAAUGAAACAACAGCUAACAAGGGGCCAGAAAGUGCUAGUCUCCUGGAGUGUAUGAUACACAAAAAUCAGAUCAAAAUCGAUCAGUGUUAUAAAUGGAAACGUUGAAACUAGAAAGCUAUUAGAAGCAAACAAAGGGUGUCCAAAGUCAUUCUGCAGUUGGAUAUCCAGUUGUAGUGACCUUCCGAGUCUGAACCUGCUCUCUCAGCCAUCACAGCGUCUCCCAACUGAGAACAGCUGAGCAGCUCCCAACUUUCCAUGGAGACAGUGGCCACAUGACCUCAACAUGGCCAAUCCGCAGAUCCCAUCCUCUUUGUCCACAGUGAUUGGCUAAGGCCUGCUCAUGUGACACACUCAGUGCCAAAGGUCAGGUUGUUGUCUUGGAAACAUCCGGGAGAAGAUCUAUUUCAGUUAGGCUGCUGGGGCUGUGGGUGCCAUCUUGUCACCUUGGAGGAAGAGCCCACCUGAGAACGACAUCAACUCAGAGGGAAGUCAGCAGAGCCAAGAGGCCGGGAGAGGUGAUUCCCGGUGACAUCAUCUGGCUCCUGGGUGCAGCCAUGGUAGAGUUGGCCUCGAACGUUGUCCCUGGCAUGGAGGUGACCAGAGGUCACCCUCACAUGUCAGCAGACACCUCCAGCUGUGUCAUUCUUGCUUCUUGUUGGCAAAGUUUGUAGGGGUAGUAUUCUCAGUUGGCAUUCCUAGCUGAGAUGUGUAGCUGGGAGGUCACCACGCCGCAGGGCCUUGGGACCAGUUCUGCCUCCGAGGAGUCCCUUACUGAUGAUCAUAGGCUCCUCAAGGUCAUCAGCCAGGGCAGCUUUGCAGAAGUCAAGGCAGCUGGCCCAGCACAUUCUCACUGGGACCAAGAUGGCUGUGGAGGUCACCCCAACAGGGCAGCAGGGCUCCUGCAGCCCCCAGGAUCUGUACUGCAGGGUCCAUAUGAUGAAGGCCCUUAAUCACCCGAAGAUCAUCAGACCCACGUGGCUGGCACCGAGAACAGGCUGUUCCUAGUCAUGGAUUAAGCCAGCUCGGGAGAGCUAUCCGACUUCACCCUCCAAUUCUCCUUGAAGGGGGAAGAGGCCUGAGGCAAGUUCCAGCAAAUAGGAUAUUCCAUGCAGUGAGGCUUCCAGAAGGAAAUUAUCCACAGGGAUCUGAAGCCAGAGAACUUCCCUGAGGAGGCUCAGCACGACAUGGAAACAACAGACUCUGGCUUUGAUACCAGAUUCACCGUAGGCUGAAAGCUGAUCCCCUUCGGUGGGAGCUCCUCUUACGCAGCCUCGGAACUGUUCCCGGAGGCAAAAGUACGAUGGACUCCGGUGGGCGUGUGGAGCCUGGGAGUCACUGUCUACACCAUGGUGGCCGAGGACUGCCAUCUGUUGGGCAGACUUUUGUGGGGCUGAGGAGGACACUAAUACUCUGUGAACGAUGACAGGAGAUCCCGUUUCUCAUUUCCAUAGAACUAGAACGCCUCAUAAACACAAUUCUGGCCCUUGACUCCAGGGAGAGGCCCUCACUAGACCACAUCAUGGGGCGCCCAUGCGUUAACAUGGGUCAGGAGGAGACAUAAAUAAGGCCAUACUGGGAGCUGCUCCCCGAUCACCCGGCGUCUGGAAAGCUCUCGUGGUGUCCCCGGGAGAUGAGGCCAACCACGUCCCAUCCUUGUAGGAACAAAAAUGUAGGAACAAAAAUUUUUAGUAGAGACGGGGUUUCUCCAUUUUGGUCAGGGUGGUCUCGAACUCCUGACCACAGGUGAUCCACUCGCCUCGGCCUCCCAAAGUGCUGGGAUUACAGGCGUGAACCACUGCGCCCGGCCCACAACAUGGAUUUUUCUUACUAUAAACAUCAAGCUACACUUGCCACAGUCUUUUACCGCUGUGGUCUCAUUUGUCUCCACCAGAGGGAGAAAGGAGACUCAAUAAAAACUGCAUGGUUCUCGGCCGGGCAUGGUGCCUCACGCCUGUAAUCCCAGCACUUUGGGAGGCCGAGGCGGGUGGAUCACUGACGUCAGGAGUUCGAGACCAGACCAGCCUGGCCAACAUGGUGAAACCCUGUCUCUACAACUACUACUACUAAUAAUAAUAAUACAAAAAUUAGCUGGACGUGGUGGUGUGCACCUGUGAUCCCAGCUACUCGGGAGGCUGAGGCAGGAGAAUCACUUGAACCCGGGAGGCAAAGGUUACAGUGAUCCGAAAUCACACCAUUACACUCCAGCCUUGGGCAACACUCCAUCUCAAAAAGAAAGAAAGAAAAAAACCUGCAUGGUUCUCUAUUCCCAUAAAUAUACUGCAAAAUAACUUUGCCCUCUUAUAAUCUGAGUGAUUUAUGAUGUCCAAAAAAAUAGAUUCUUUCACUCAAGAAGUAUUUAUUGACCACCGACAACAUGCCGUUUCCCCAGAACAUUAAGGCAGUUCAAAAAAUAUUGAAAAAUGGAAAAGUAAGCAUAUUGGAACAUAAAACAUUGUUUAAAUAUUUAUCCCCAAACUAUUAAAAAUUUUAAUUUCCUGCUCUCAAA